Molecule: ribosomal RNA, 810 nt
Filed under: uncultured organism
Description: bacterial SSU rRNA
Rfam family: Bacterial small subunit ribosomal RNA
Source: RNAcentral
GGAUGAACGCUGGCGGUCUGCUUAACACAUGCAAGUCGAACGCAACCUUCGGGUUGAGUGGCGGACGGGUGAGUAACGCGUGAGAAUCUGCCUUGGGGUCGGGGACAACCACUGGAAACGGUGGCUAAUACCGGAUAAGCCUUUGGGUAAAAGAUUUAUUGCCCCAAGAGGAGCUCGCGUCUGAUUAGCUAGUUGGUGAGGUAAAAGCUCACCAAGGCAGCGAUCAGUAGCUGGUCUGAGAGGACGAUCAGCCACACUGGGACUGAGACACGGCCCAGACUCCUACGGGAGGCAGCAGUGGGGAAUUUUCCGCAAUGGGCGAAAGCCUGACGGAGCAAGACCGCGUGAGGGAGGAAGGCUCUUGGGUUGUAAACCUCUUUUCUCAGGGAAGAAGCUCUGACGGUACCUGAGGAAUCAGCCUCGGCUAACUCCGUGCCAGCAGCCGCGGUAAUACGGAGGAGGCAAGCGUUAUCCGGAAUUAUUGGGCGUAAAGCGUCCGCAGGUGGCGAUUCAAGUCUGCUGUCAAAGCACGGGGCUUAACUCCGUUAAGGCAGUGGAAACUGAAUAGCUAGAGUGCCGUAGGGGUAGAGGGAAUUCCCGGUGUAGCGGUGAAAUGCGUAGAGAUCGGGAAGAACAUCGGUGGCGAAAGCGCUCUACUGGACGGCAACUGACACUCAGGGACGAAAGCUAGGGGAGCGAAUGGGAUUAGAUACCCCAGUAGUCCUAGCUGUAAACGAUGGAUACUAGGUGUAGCUUGUAUCGACCCGAGCUGUGCCGAAGCUAACGCGUNUAGUAUCCCGCCUGGGGAGU